RNAcentral lists this ribosomal RNA (426 nucleotides) under uncultured bacterium. RNAcentral's name for it is "bacterial SSU rRNA". It matches the Rfam family "Bacterial small subunit ribosomal RNA", at positions 356 to 773 of the family's 1533-position model. The record is from RNAcentral.
GGGGAAUAUUGCGCAAUGGGGGAAACCCUGACGCAGCGACGCCGCGUGAGCGAAGAAGGCCUUAGGGUCGUAAAGCUCUGUUAUAAGGGACGAAGGUUACCAUGGUUAAUACCCGUGGUAAGUGACGGUACCUUAUGAGUAAGCCCCGGCUAACUACGUGCCAGCAGCCGCGGUAAGACGUAGGGGGCGAGCGUUGUCCGGAAUUACUGGGCGUAAAGAGCACGUAGGCGGGAAUUUAAGUCAGGUGUGAAAGACCGCAGCUUAACUGCGGGGUUGCACUUGAAACUGGAUUUCUUGAGGGCAGGAGAGGAAAGCAGAAUUCCUGGUGUAGCGGUGAAAUGCGUAGAAAUCAGGAGGAAUACCAGUGGCGAAGGCGGCUUUCUGGACUGACCCUGACGCUGAGGUGCGAAAGCGUGGGUAGCAAAC